AACGAACGCUGGCGGCAUGCCUAACACAUGCAAGUCGAACGGGAUCCUGGUUUCGGCCAGGUGAGAGUGGCGGACGGGUGAGUAACGCGUGGGAACCUGCCCAGUGGUGGGGGAUAACUGCGGGAAACUGCAGCUAAUACCGCAUGAGCCCGGAAAGGGAAGAUUGAUCGCCAUUGGAGGGGCCCGCGUUCGAUUAGGUAGUUGGUGAGGUAACGGCUCACCAAGCCUUCGANCGAUAGCUGGUCUGAGAGGAUGAUCAGCCACACUGGGACUGAGAUACGGCCCAGACUCCUACGGGAGGCAGCGAGUGGGGAAUAUUGGACAAUGGGGGCAACCCUGAUCCAGCAAUGCCGCGUGAGUGAUGAAGGCCUUCGG
RNAcentral lists this ribosomal RNA (375 nucleotides) under uncultured bacterium. RNAcentral's name for it is "bacterial SSU rRNA". It matches the Rfam family "Bacterial small subunit ribosomal RNA", at positions 29 to 421 of the family's 1533-position model. The record is from RNAcentral.